This 477-nucleotide ribosomal RNA is filed under the name uncultured Planctomycetota bacterium. RNAcentral describes it as "bacterial SSU rRNA". It matches the Rfam family "Bacterial small subunit ribosomal RNA", at positions 365 to 832 of the family's 1533-position model. Lineage: Bacteria; Pseudomonadati; Planctomycetota. The record is from RNAcentral.
UUCGCAAUGCCCGAAAGGGUGACGAAGCGACGCCGCGUGUGGGAAGAAGGCCUUCGGGUUGUAAACCACUGUCGGGAGUUAAGAAAUGUAAGGGUGUUAAUAGCGCCUUUACUUGACAAAGGCUCCGGAGGAAGCCACGACUAACUCUGUGCCAGCAGCCGCGGUAAUACAGAGGCGGCAAGCGUUGUUCGGAAUUAUUGGGCGUAAAGAGCACGUAGGCGGCUUUGCAAGUCAGUUGUGAAAGCCUUCCGCUUAACGGAAGAACAGCAGCUGAUACUACAGAGCUUGAGUACGGGAGGGGAGAGUGGAACUUCUGGUGGAGCGGUGAAAUGCGUAGAUAUCAGAAGGAACGCUGGCGGCGAAAGCGAUUCUCUGGUCCGAAACUGACGCUGAGUGUGCGAAAGCUAGGGGAUCAAACGGGAUUAGAUACCCCGGUAGUCCUAGCCGUAAACGAUGGGCACUAAGUAGAGGGGUUUU